Molecule: ribosomal RNA, 1838 nt
Filed under: Escherichia coli
Lineage: Bacteria; Pseudomonadati; Pseudomonadota; Gammaproteobacteria; Enterobacterales; Enterobacteriaceae
Description: partial 23S ribosomal RNA
Rfam family: Bacterial large subunit ribosomal RNA
Source: RNAcentral
CGGGACACGUGGUAUCCUGUCUGAAUAUGGGGGGACCAUCCUCCAAGGCUAAAUACUCCUGACUGACCGAUAGUGAACCAGUACCGUGAGGGAAAGGCGAAAAGAACCCCGGCGAGGGGAGUGAAAAAGAACCUGAAACCGUGUACGUACAAGCAGUGGGAGCACGCUUCGGCGUGUGACUGCGUACCUUUUGUAUAAUGGGUCAGCGACUUAUAUUCUGUAGCAAGGUUAACCGAAUAGGGGAGCCGAAGGGAAACCGAGUCUUAACUGGGCGUUAAGUUGCAGGGUAUAGACCCGAAACCCGGUGAUCUAGCCAUGGGCAGGUUGAAGGUUGGGUAACACUAACUGGAGGACCGAACCGACUAAUGUUGAAAAAUUAGCGGAUGACUUGUGGCUGGGGGUGAAAGGCCAAUCAAACCGGGAGAUAGCUGGUUCUCCCCGAAAGCUAUUUAGGUAGCGCCUCGUGAAUUCAUCUCCGGGGGUAGAGCACUGUUUCGGCAAGGGGGUCAUCCCGACUUACCAACCCGAUGCAAACUGCGAAUACCGGAGAAUGUUAUCACGGGAGACACACGGCGGGUGCUAACGUCCGUCGUGAAGAGGGAAACAACCCAGACCGCCAGCUAAGGUCCCAAAGUCAUGGUUAAGUGGGAAACGAUGUGGGAAGGCCCAGACAGCCAGGAUGUUGGCUUAGAAGCAGCCAUCAUUUAAAGAAAGCGUAAUAGCUCACUGGUCGAGUCGGCCUGCGCGGAAGAUGUAACGGGGCUAAACCAUGCACCGAAGCUGCGGCAGCGACACUAUGUGUUGUUGGGUAGGGGAGCGUUCUGUAAGCCUGUGAAGGUGUACUGUGAGGUAUGCUGGAGGUAUCAGAAGUGCGAAUGCUGACAUAAGUAACGAUAAAGCGGGUGAAAAGCCCGCUCGCCGGAAGACCAAGGGUUCCUGUCCAACGUUAAUCGGGGCAGGGUGAGUCGACCCCUAAGGCGAGGCCGAAAGGCGUAGUCGAUGGGAAACAGGUUAAUAUUCCUGUACUUGGUGUUACUGCGAAGGGGGGACGGAGAAGGCUAUGUUGGCCGGGCGACGGUUGUCCCGGUUUAAGCGUGUAGGCUGGUUUUCCAGGCAAAUCCGGAAAAUCAAGGCUGAGGCGUGAUGACGAGGCACUACGGUGCUGAAGCAACAAAUGCCCUGCUUCCAGGAAAAGCCUCUAAGCAUCAGGUAACAUCAAAUCGUACCCCAAACCGACACAGGUGGUCAGGUAGAGAAUACCAAGGCGCUUGAGAGAACUCGGGUGAAGGAACUAGGCAAAAUGGUGCCGUAACUUCGGGAGAAGGCACGCUGAUAUGUAGGUGAAGCGACUUGCUCGUGGAGCUGAAAUCAGUCGAAGAUACCAGCUGGCUGCAACUGUUUAUUAAAAACACAGCACUGUGCAAACACGAAAGUGGACGUAUACGGUGUGACGCCUGCCCGGUGCCGGAAGGUUAAUUGAUGGGGUUAGCGGUAACGCGAAGCUCUUGAUCGAAGCCCCGGUAAACGGCGGCCGUAACUAUAACGGUCCUAAGGUAGCGAAAUUCCUUGUCGGGUAAGUUCCGACCUGCACGAAUGGCGUAAUGAUGGCCAGGCUGUCUCCACCCGAGACUCAGUGAAAUUGAACUCGCUGUGAAGAUGCAGUGUACCCGCGGCAAGACGGAAAGACCCCGUGAACCUUUACUAUAGCUUGACACUGAACAUUGAGCCUUGAUGUGUAGGAUAGGUGGGAGGCUUUGAAGUGUGGACGCCAGUCUGCAUGGAGCCGACCUUGAAAUACCACCCUUUAAUGUUUGAUGUUCUAACGUUGGCCCGUUAUC